GUUAGGAAUCUUGCGCAAUGGGGGAAACCCUGACGCAGCAACGCCGCGUGAAGGAUGAAGGCUUUCGGGUUGUAAACUUCUUUUAGCAGGAAAGAACACAAUGACGGUACCUGCAGAAAAAGCACCGGCUAACUCUGUGCCAGCAGCCGCGGUAAUACAGAGGGUGCAAGCGUUAUUCGGAUUUACUGGGCAUAAAGAGCGCGUAGGCGGUUUAAUAAGUCUGAUGUGAAAUCCCUGGACUCAAUCCAGGAAGUGCAUCGGAUACUGUUAGACUCGAGUACAGGAGGGGAGAGCGGAAUUCCAGGUGUAGAGGUGAAAUUCGUAGAUAUCUGGAGGAACAACAGUGGCGAAGGCGGCUCUCUGGACUGUUACUGACGCUGAGGCGCGAAAGCGUGGGGAGCAAACAGGAUUAGAAACCCCUGUAGUCC
RNAcentral lists this ribosomal RNA (428 nucleotides) under uncultured bacterium. Its description in RNAcentral is "bacterial SSU rRNA". It matches the Rfam family "Bacterial small subunit ribosomal RNA", at positions 354 to 796 of the family's 1533-position model. The record is from RNAcentral.